ACAAAACUUUGCCGACAACUUCAAACAAAAAAACUCCGACAAAAAAAAAACAAAAAAACUCAGACACUGCUGCUUUAAGGAUUGCCACAACAAAGAAGGGGAUGUCGGCGAUAAUGUAUCGCCUCCCAUCGAGACCGAGGGAAGCAACUCGGCAGCAGAAGUGUAUCGCCGCUGUUUGGCGCUUCAAGUCUGAGCAACCCUCUUUCUUCCCCUUGUUAAGGAAGGGUCAUGCACCAGGGGUGGAAGCAGGCUUCAGUCUUUUGGAGCAGCUCUGGAGCAACAAAAGGAGACAUCCAGAAACGACCUGGUGCCUUGCGACGCCAGGUUGAUCUGCAAAGUGGAUUGUCCAGGAGUUCAUUAUUUUCAGUACACGUGUCAUGCUCUUCCGGGACUGCAGUGGUAGCAGGUCCUGUCUCAUGCUCUUCGACCUGCAAAGGAGCAGGGCUGCUCUGGAACACAAGACUCUGGAACUCGAGACUCUGGAACACAAGAAGCGGAUGUUUAACAAGGCAUAGCCGCUUCACAGGCCUUCCGACACCAGAGCCACCAGUGAUGGCCUCACUAUAGCUGCGCGUAUAAAAACCGUAUUGCGGCUGCUCCAACAAGGAAGCAUGCUUUUAUAAAUGAAAUGAUAUUUAAAAAGAAAGCGCGCAAGAGUUUUCGAUUCGAACCUUAGCAACCUCGAGUUCGAAAGGGCAGGGUUUUCUAGGUGCUUUUACAGCCACAGCGAUAAUAAAUGCGGAUGUAUGUGCUGGUGGAAGGAAUUACAAAACAGCUCUUCUGUAUAAUGAUCCAUGGAUAAAGUAUAUUAGAGGAAAAGUGUCAAUGCAUUCCUACUAUUUACGUGUUCUACUGCGAACGCAAAGCACGGAAAAUCAGAUCCUGAUGUCCAGACAUAGACAUGACAGAAAUUCUGGCGGCACGCGUGUAGUUAUUAUAGAAAAUUACUUUGUGACAUGCCGUGCAACUCUUCAAACGAGCUAUCAGCAGCAUUACUAGAACAGACAACGUCCGACGAUGAAUCGCCGCCAGUUUCACGCUACUGAUUGAAUUGGACGUCAGGAGCCCUUGCGGAGAGCGUGUUUUGCCGUUAACCUGGACUUGCAUAACACUGAGUGGCGUCGGCACCUAACAUAGCAUUGUGAAUUUUAGGACGCACGCGCGACCGCUGCUUAUUCAGCGUAAUAAAAUAAGUACAUGAUUGCUAUUUUGGUGGCCCCGAGAACAAGGUGCACAUGUACUGAAGCACCGGCGUGGCUAUUGCCAGUGAUAGACUACCCCAAAUCCGACUUGAGCGCAGUUUAGCGCAAUUUCCGCACAUAUUAUCAGGAUGGCGCAAUAAAUCUGAUUUGGCGCAGUGGUGCAAAAGUGGUAUCCCUGUGGUUUGAAUCGGGCCGUUAACGGAAGACUGCAGAGAAGUCUUACAGCUAUAGAAUUUUUAAAAUUUUUAUGGACAAGCCACGUGCUUAAAAAAGAAAAGUAAACAAAUUCUAAACAAGUUUAGAGAUCAAUGCAUAGAACUAGAACUCACAUGCGAGAUACUUUGCUCUAAUAAUUUGCAGUCUCUUAUACAAUGAUUAAGUGUCUCUGCGGAGCAUGUUUGCUGGCAGUAUAUUCUGCAUUGAGUGAGACCACUAUUGAAUUUCACACUGGUGCAUUCAAAUAUUGUUCAAUGAGGACCAAUGAUCAUGUACUUAGGCUUGGAAAAGAAGAAAAAGGGGAGGGGGGGGGGGGCACAUUAUACCUGAGCAAUAGUUUCCAGCUGCAAAAAGGCCCGAUGCCCUGCUUAUAUCAUAUUGCAUCGGUUCAUCCGCACCACAAACAAAGAUUAAUUACGACGACCUUCAUCCGCGAAAGAACUAGGAAUAUUGCGGUUAUUACAUGCAUACAUUCUGCACAGUCUAAAAGGAAAUAGGCAAGCGAUAUGAGGUGAGAGUUGUGUUUUCCGCACCACAAGCUUAGUAACAUUUCUUCCCUAGAGGGCAAAAGGUCGCAAGGGUCUGCAGUGGCUAUAAAAAGUACUAUGAGACGCAUGCCAACUGUUCUUUCAAUUGUUGUGCAAGAGUUGCUUACUAUAUUCCUCAUGUAUUCACAUAUAUACAUUUAGUUUAUGUAUCAACACACGCCUCAGAGAGUAUCAAAAUUAAUUGAAUGAAGCCAUCCCAUCGCACCUCGCAUCUUCAGUCAUGCAAAUGCAAUUUCAUCUUUGAAGGCCUGGCAAUCUUGCACAGUCACUCGAACCAGACCAUGCGAGAAAUCUGGGAGACAUAUCACAAAGAACACCACACUUUGUUUAAGUCAAUUAACCUUCUCUAUCAUUACAACACAAGAAGCUUAACCUUAUUAAUCAACUGCAAACACGUGCCUGGGUUGUUUGCCUUUUUAUGCCUUUUUGUGAUAAACGUGAUGCACGCCCAUUUUUUUUACAUGUUUUUUAACACGUGCGAUAACCUUUCAGUGGUGAGUGAGUGUUUCCUGUGAGCAUAUUUUUUUCCUGGUCCUAUACUUUUUUCUUUUCACAUUGAAGUUUUAUUCAAACCCAUAGUUACAAUGCCAAGAAAAUUUGGUAUGUGCAUAUCAUGCAAGCAACGUGCACAUGAUCUAGUGAAUGUAUUUUAUUUUACAGAAAACCGGUUAUUUGUCAAGCACUCUUUAAAUAUACCAGAACCCUAUAAUUUACUUGUAAACAGCAUGAAAGGACAUAGAUUUCAGCAUCAGGCCAUCUCCCUUUCCGUAGGAAGCGCCCACAUGAAUAUCACGCCGCUAACAUAAUAAAUAUAGCAUUAAAAGCAUAAGUAAAUGAACUCAUGCUUCCAAUUCAUCUGCACUUCUUUGAGCCAUCGCUCAUUCCUGAUAAAAUUGCAUCUAUUAUUGACCAUCAAGCAUUUCUUAAAUGGUUGCAUAAAUAUUAUUCGAAAUAGCAUCAUAUCGUCACCAUUUAUUGUUUUUUUCUGCAAAGUGGUACUACAUCUUUAAUAUAAAUUUAUUACUUUUUUGCUAGCGUGUGCCAGGUGUGUCAUUUUGUUUUUGUUUUUUAAUAAAAAUUCUAUUGCUCUCUUAC
Molecule: long non-coding RNA, 3061 nt
Organism: Rhipicephalus microplus (southern cattle tick)
Lineage: Eukaryota; Metazoa; Arthropoda; Arachnida; Ixodida; Ixodidae
Source: RefSeq, a predicted model, not a curated record